This is a long non-coding RNA of Etheostoma cragini (Arkansas darter), 158 nucleotides long. RefSeq lists it as uncharacterized. The transcript is spliced from 4 exons. NCBI's taxonomy places the organism in Eukaryota, Metazoa, Chordata, Actinopteri, Perciformes, Percidae. The record is from RefSeq and is a predicted model, not a curated record.
AGGUCAGACUCUCUGGUACUUGAAGUCCUUGCUGUCCACCCUCUCCACUGAGGACCUGUUGAUAUUAAGUGGGGUGUAGUUCCUUUCCUGCUUCUUCCCAAAGUCCACUAUCAUAUCUUCAGUCUUGCUGACAUUCAUGAGUAGGUUGUUGUCCUGAC